This 73-nucleotide transfer RNA is filed under the name Paramuricea clavata. It matches the Rfam family "tRNA". Rfam says of the family: Transfer RNA (tRNA) molecules are approximately 80 nucleotides in length. Their secondary structure includes four short double-helical elements and three loops (D, anti-codon, and T loops). The record is from Rfam by way of RNAcentral. Lineage: Eukaryota; Metazoa; Cnidaria; Anthozoa; Malacalcyonacea; Plexauridae.
GAUCCUGCAACUCAGUUGGUUAGAGCGCUACACCGGAAUUGCAGGGCCGCAGGUUCGAUUCCUGCCAGGGACC